AUGGUCUGGGGCCCAGAGUGGAUCCUUUGACUCAGUCACUGAAACCACACUAGGACAGUAAAGAAAAUCAGUCUGCUGCAAAAAAAUUCCUGCCUCGGACAGAGCUGAAUUUUCUGCGGUAAGGUUUCCAACACGUUCUGUCAAUUUGGGUGAAGCGUGCAGGAGGCCACAGAACUGUGUAUACCAGCUGAAAAAUUUUUGACUCAGUGAGGCUAUUAAUGAUGAAAUGAAUAAAUCAUUUUAAAAUGACA
This 251-nucleotide long non-coding RNA is filed under the name Coturnix japonica (Japanese quail). RNAcentral's name for it is "lncRNA (ENSCJPG00005020950.1)". The record is from RNAcentral. Lineage: Eukaryota; Metazoa; Chordata; Aves; Galliformes; Phasianidae.